GAGGAGGAGAGGUCGCUGGCCGAGGAAUAGUUGCAAGGACGACGGCCACCACGGUAAUGUAGGUGAGGUUCUUGUGAGGGUAGGAGGUGGCCGAGCAGUCUCCGACUCCGGAACAGGCAGCAGCGACACCGAAGGAGAGGUAAGCAGCAGCACUACCCUUUCUAACUGAACAGAAAAGAGAAGGCUUCGACAGAGCUGCCUACAUCCGCAAGGAAGAUGGCUCUGAUACCAUGAUAAAAAUUAAACGAAGAAUAUAGAAAGAUAGAAGUUGUAGAAGAAACUAUGAAAUGUAUAAGAUGUAAUUGUCUAGUUCAUUUUGAUAGUGAGCUCUUGAUAGCUAUUUAUACACAUUCAGCAUGGAGGAUUUUUCUCAACUGCUUAGAGAUUUCCUCAACUGCCUUGAGGAAAUCUUAUCUACUUAUCA
This 424-nucleotide long non-coding RNA is filed under the name Musa acuminata (dwarf banana). RNAcentral describes it as "long non-coding RNA (MACU_LNC008050)". The record is from RNAcentral. Lineage: Eukaryota; Viridiplantae; Streptophyta; Magnoliopsida; Zingiberales; Musaceae.